GACCCAGUAGUGGAUGGUCCAUGUCUCCCUCUCUUGAGUUUUCCUAGAUCUGAUUCCAGAUAAGAUAAGGAGAAGUCGCCUGUUCGAUUCGGGCCUGGGUCA
Mycena capillaripes is the source of this 102-nucleotide non-coding RNA. Lineage: Eukaryota; Fungi; Basidiomycota; Agaricomycetes; Agaricales; Mycenaceae. The record is from the annotation of a GenBank genome assembly.